CAAAGGAAGAAAAGUCUCAAUCUGAGGUAAAGGAGAGUGGAUAUUUAAAACACAUGUGGAAAAAGAAUCACCUUUGUCUUUUUCUUCAUGAAGGAUAUUUCUGCAUUAAUGAAGCAGUAUGUUCUGGUAUCUAUAAAUGGAAUGGCACACACCAUAGAGCAAGUGAAUGGGGAGCCAUGGAGGAACCUCUAAGGAAAAAAAUACCUCUUCCACCAGCCAAAUCAGCAAAUGUGUGGAAUCAAAUAUUUGGACUGCCUCAAGGAUCUGACAGGAGGAAUUGAGUAUGCUGCCAAGAUAUUAAAUGAAAUUCCCCAGAAAGACAUUCAGUGCACUAAAAGAGCCUCAAAGGCAGAAAGGGAAGGAAA
This is a long non-coding RNA of Pogoniulus pusillus (Red-fronted tinkerbird), 365 nucleotides long. RefSeq lists it as uncharacterized. The transcript is spliced from 3 exons. NCBI's taxonomy places the organism in Eukaryota, Metazoa, Chordata, Aves, Piciformes, Lybiidae. The record is from RefSeq and is a predicted model, not a curated record.